AAAAAGUGAAGAUGGGGAAAAUUAAUGGAUGCCUAAAGUGCAUUUUUAUUUUCUACAAUGUGCUGUUUGUGGUGAUAGGAAGUGGAAUGAUUUUCCUGGUAGCACAGCUCACUUUACUCUUCAGUUCCUUUGGCAUCCAGCUCUCAUCAUUUGGUAUGCCAAGCAUUGGCUGGUUUUGGCUGUUUGCGUUUGGUGUCCUCGGUGUCUCCUUCCUGGGAAUCUUUGCUGCCUGCUGUGAGAAAGACAUUGCCAUCAAAAUAUUUGCAGGCCUCGUGGGGACUGGAAUGAUCAUCAUGAUAAUCUGUGGCAUCCAGUGGCGGUCCUAGCCUGUUUGGCGCCCUGGGCGAACACUCCCUCUGACGCCCCCCCCUCCACCACACACACACACACACACACACACACAAAACAUAUUAAGGAUCGUACAUUAACAUAAAACUGUUGUCCACACACACAUAUGAAGACAGAGAGAGUAUGCAUAGUAUGCAAACGGCUACCAAACAGACAUCAUAAUUCUUCAUACAAUGAGAACAGGACAAAUCAACAACUGACAAUGACUAAUUAAUAUUAAAAUCUGUAACAUAAUGUAUUGUUUGGAGUUUAAUCUGUUAGUGUUACUAUUUUUACCAUUUCUUCUUGGAGCAGCU
Molecule: long non-coding RNA, 644 nt
Organism: Oreochromis aureus
Lineage: Eukaryota; Metazoa; Chordata; Actinopteri; Cichliformes; Cichlidae
Source: Ensembl